AAAUUGAAGAGUUUGAUCAUGGCUCAGAUUGAACGCUGGCGGCAGGCCUAACACAUGCAAGUCGAACGGUAACAGAAAGCAGCUUGCUGCUUUGCUGACGAGUGGCGGACGGGUGAGUAAUGUCUGGGAAACUGCCUGAUGGAGGGGGAUAACUACUGGAAACGGUAGCUAAUACCGCAUAACGUCGCAAGACCAAAGAGGGGGACCUUCGGGCCUCUUGCCAUCGGAUGUGCCCAGAUGGGAUUAGCUAGUAGGUGGGGUAACGGCUCACCAAGGCGACGAUCCCUAGCUGGUCUGAGAGGAUGACCAGCCACACUGGAACUGAGACACGGUCCAGACUCCUACGGGAGGCAGCAGUGGGGAAUAUUGCACAAUGGGCGCAAGCCUGAUGCAGCCAUGCCGCGUGUAUGAAGAAGGCCUUCGGGUUGUAAAGUACUUUCAGCGGGGAGGAAGGGAGUAAAGUUAAUACCUUU
Molecule: ribosomal RNA, 473 nt
Filed under: Escherichia coli
Lineage: Bacteria; Pseudomonadati; Pseudomonadota; Gammaproteobacteria; Enterobacterales; Enterobacteriaceae
Description: bacterial SSU rRNA
Rfam family: Bacterial small subunit ribosomal RNA
Source: RNAcentral